GAGGAACUGCAGUUUGUCAGAGAUCAGCUGUUCUGCUCUGGCCUCAGCUCUGAAGUCCAACAUCCAUCUGAGACAUCUGGACCUGAGAGGAAACGCUCUGCAGGAUUCAGGAGUGGAGCUGCUGAGAGAUCUUCUGGAGAGUCCAGACUGCAGACUGGAGACCCUCAGGAUCAGAUAUGAUGAGACGAUCAGAGCCAAGAUCCAGAAGAACUGAACUCCCAUCCCCCGAGUCCUGCGGCAGGAAGCGCUCCUUCUCUCCAAGAACUCCUGGACCCUGCAAGCUGGUCCAGAACCAGAGUCCCAGUGAGGAGUCCAGCCAGUCCACCUCUCAGAGUUAAACUAAACUACAACAUUAUUAAAGAUCAUGUUUAAAGUUAAAAAAGGAUGCUUUCAGACUGAAUCCAGAAGUUUCUCAAGCUGCAGUCAAAGCAGGUCAUUUGAGGAAUAUAUAAAACAAUUAUAAAACUGUAAUAAGAAUUACUCUGAAUACUUUCUUUGGACAUUUUAUUUAAACGACAUUUUAAACAAAUAUUUUUAAAUGUUUCUGACUUUCUAUCUGAGUGCUUUUCUCAUGAAUUAAUGACUUAAAUCUUGUUUUCUUUCUUGUGUAUUUCAUAAUCCUACAGGAUAUUAUAUAUUUUUUUCACAUAACUUUAAGACUAAAUAUUAUUUUCUUCCAUAAAUAUCCCACUUCUUGUACUUAUAUCCUGAUUGAUGAGUCAACAGUAAAGCAGCCAGGCGUUAACGGUCAGCUGGCAUGUGUAUCUGUUCAUUGGCUCAUAUGUGUAGCAUGUUUAAUGGCAGUGUGUUGAAAAUGGCUGACAGGUGAAUAUGUCAGAUCUCUGUGUGUUACUCAGAGAACCGUGUGCAGUGUUUUAGAAAGUGCAGAGUUGAAUUGCAGAUUGUGUGCAGAGCUGAAAAUGUGUUUAGAGUUUUGUUUGAUUUAAUCCAGCCAGUUCUGCCACAGCAAAGCAUAAGGGCUCAGAGCUUGGACCUAUUGUGUUCACAUUAUAUACGCUUCCUUUAGGCAAUAUUAUAUAUAUAUAUAUAUGCUGUUAAAAACUGUGUAUUUUGUAAAACGUGUAACUAAUCUUUAAUACUUUGUUGUAUGCAUGCUUUAGGUAACAUGAAGCUGUCUUUGUCUCUUUCCUGCUGUAACAAUGUACAUGUAUCCUCUGUGGGACUAAUAAAGGUAUUCUGAUUCUGA
This is a long non-coding RNA of Trematomus bernacchii (emerald rockcod), 1207 nucleotides long. RefSeq lists it as uncharacterized. Lineage: Eukaryota; Metazoa; Chordata; Actinopteri; Perciformes; Nototheniidae. The record is from RefSeq and is a predicted model, not a curated record. The transcript has 3 exons.